UUAGAAUGAGCUGUACAAUA
Molecule: non-coding RNA, 20 nt
Filed under: Arabidopsis thaliana (thale cress)
Lineage: Eukaryota; Viridiplantae; Streptophyta; Magnoliopsida; Brassicales; Brassicaceae
Source: RNAcentral